GAUGAACGCUGGCGGCGUGCCUAAUACAUGCAAGUCGAGCGAACAGAUAAGGAGCUUGCUCCUUUGACGUUAGCGGCGGACGGGUGAGUAACACGUGGGUAACCUACCUAUAAGACUGGAAUAACUCCGGGAAACCGGGGCUAAUGCCGGAUAACAUUUAGAACCGCAUGGUUCUAAAGUGAAAGAUGGUUUUGCUAUCACUUAUAGAUGGACCCGCGCCGUAUUAGCUAGUUGGUAAGGUAACGGCUUACCAAGGCAACGAUACGUAGCCGACCUGAGAGGGUGAUCGGCCACACUGGAACUGAGACACGGUCUAGACUCCUACGGGAGGCAGCAGUAGGGAAUCUUCCGCAAUGGGCGAAAGCCUGACGGAGCAACGCCGCGUGAGUGAUGAAGGUCUUCGGAUCGUAAAACUCUGUUAUUAGGGAAGAACAAAUGUGUAAGUAACUGUGCACGUCUUGACGGUACCUAAUCAGAAAGCCACGGCUAACUACGUG
Molecule: ribosomal RNA, 497 nt
Filed under: uncultured bacterium
Lineage: Bacteria
Description: partial 16S ribosomal RNA
Rfam family: Bacterial small subunit ribosomal RNA
Source: RNAcentral